AGGACGAACGCUGGCGGCGUGCCUAACACAUGCAAGUCGAGCGGAAAGGCCCUUCGGGGUACUCGAGCGGCGAACGGGUGAGUAACACGUGAGUAAUCUGCCCCUAGCUCUGGGAUAGCUCCGGGAAAACCGGGAUUAAUACCAGAUACGACCACUUUAGACAUCUGUUGUGGUGGAAAGAAUUUUGGCUAGGGAUGAGCUCGCGGCCUAUCAGCUUGUUGGUGAGGUAACGGCUCACCAAGGCGACGACGGGUAGCCGGCCUGAGAGGGCGACCGGCCACACUGGGACUGAGACACGGCCCAGACUCCUACGGGAGGCAGCAGUGGGGAAUAUUGCGCAAUGGGCGAAAGCCUGACGCAGCGACGCCGCGUGGGGGAUGAAGGCCUUCGGGUUGUAAACCCUUUCAGCAGGGACGAAGCGAAAGUGACGGUACCUGCAGAAGAAGCGCCGGCUAACUACGCGCCAGCAGCCGC
RNAcentral lists this ribosomal RNA (474 nucleotides) under uncultured bacterium. Its description in RNAcentral is "SSU rRNA". It matches the Rfam family "Bacterial small subunit ribosomal RNA", at positions 26 to 518 of the family's 1533-position model. The record is from RNAcentral.